This 514-nucleotide ribosomal RNA is filed under the name uncultured bacterium. RNAcentral's name for it is "partial 16S ribosomal RNA". It matches the Rfam family "Bacterial small subunit ribosomal RNA", at positions 28 to 523 of the family's 1533-position model. The record is from RNAcentral.
GAUGAACGCUGGCGGCGUGCCUAAUACAUGCAAGUCGAGCGAACAGAUGAGAAGCUUGCCUCUCUGAUGUUAGCGGCGGACGGGUGAGUAACACGUGGGUAACCUACCUAUAAGACUGGGAUAACUCCGGGAAACCGGGGCUAAUACCGGAUAAUAUUUUGAACCGCAUGGUUCGAUAGUGAAAGACGGUUUCGGCUGUCACUUAUAGAUGGACCCGCGCCGUAUUAGCUAGUUGGUAAGGUAACGGCUUACCAAGGCGACGAUACGUAGCCGACCUGAGAGGGUGAUCGGGCACACUGGAACUGAGACACGGUCCAGACUCCUACGGGAGGCAGCAGUAGGGAAUCUUCCGCAAUGGGCGAAAGCCUGACGGAGCAACGCCGCGUGGGUGAUGAAGGUAUUCGGAUCGUAAAACUCUGUUGUUAGGGAAGAACAAAUUUGUUAGUAACUGAACAAGUCUUGACGGUACCUAACCAGAAAGCCACGGCUAACUACGUGCCAGCAGCCGCGGUAA